GCAGUCGAGCGACAGAUAGGAGCUUGCUCCUUUGACGUUAGCGGCGGACGGGUGAGUAACACGUGGGUAACCUACCUAUAAGACUGGAAUAACUCCGGGAAACCGGGGCUAAUGCCGGAUAACAUUUAGAACCGCAUGGUUCUAAAGUGAAAGAUGGUUUUGCUAUCACUUAUAGAUGGACCCGCGCCGUAUUAGCUAGUUGGUAAGGUAAUGGCUUACCAAGGCAACGAUACGUAGCCGACCUGAGAGGGUGAUCGGCCACACUGGAACUGAGACACGGUCCAGACUCCUACGGGAGGCAGCAGUAGGGAAUCUUCCGCAAUGGGCGAAAGCCUGACGGAGCAACGCCGCGUGAGUGAUGAAGGGUUUCGGCUCGUAAAACUCUGUUAUUAGGGAAGAACAAACGUGUAAGUAACUGUGCACGUCUUGACGGUACCUAAUCAGAAAGCCACGGCUAACUACGUGCCAGCAGCCGCGGUAAUACGUAGGUGGCAAGCGUUAUCCGGAAUUAUUGGGCGUAAAGCGCGCGUAGGCGGUUUCUUAAGUCUGAUGUGAAAGCCCACGGCUCAACCGUGGAGGGUCAUUGGAAACUGGGAGACUUGAGUGCAGAAGAGGAAAGUGGAAU
RNAcentral lists this ribosomal RNA (625 nucleotides) under Staphylococcus arlettae. RNAcentral's name for it is "bacterial SSU rRNA". It matches the Rfam family "Bacterial small subunit ribosomal RNA", at positions 57 to 667 of the family's 1533-position model. The record is from RNAcentral. Lineage: Bacteria; Bacillati; Bacillota; Bacilli; Caryophanales; Staphylococcaceae.